RNAcentral lists this ribosomal RNA (253 nucleotides) under uncultured bacterium. RNAcentral's name for it is "partial 16S ribosomal RNA". It matches the Rfam family "Bacterial small subunit ribosomal RNA", at positions 524 to 776 of the family's 1533-position model. The record is from RNAcentral.
GACGGAAGGUGCAAGCGUUGCUCGGAAUCACUGGGCGUAAAGGGUGCGUAGGCGGCUUGGUGGGUCUGGUGUGAAAGCCCCGGGCUCAGCCCGGGAAGGGCACUAGAAACUGCCGAGCUGGAGUGCCGGAGGGGAGAGUGGAAUUCCUGGUGUAGCGGUGAAAUGUGUAGAGAUCGGGAGGAACACCGGUGGCGAAGGCGGUCUUCUGGACGGUGACUGACGCUGAGGCGCGAAAGCGUGGGGAGCAAACGGG